CCCAAACUGAGGGAUAAGCACCAGAAAUGGUGUCUAAUACCGCAUGUGAUCUUCGGAUUAAAGCCCAACACCUUUGUUAUCUUUUCUAACAACAUUUGUUAGAGUAGGCAACACGAGUGAAAUCUUUGUAAAUGUUGUGAUAAAAGAUAACAAAGGUGUUGGGCGGUUUGGGAACGGCCUGCGCAUGAUUAGCUUGUUGGUGAGGUAAUAGCUCACCAAGGCGACGAUCAUUAGCUGGUCUGAGAGGAUGAUCAGCCAGACUGGGACUGAGAACGGCCCAGACUCCUACGGGAGGCAGCAGUAGGGAAUUUUCCACAAUGGACGAAAGUCUGAUGGAGCAACGCCGCGUGCAGGAUGAAGGCCCUUGGGUCGUAAACUGCUUUUAUAUGUGACGAUUAUGACGGUAGCAUAUGAAUAAGGAUCGGCUAACUCCGUGCCAGCAGCCGCGGUCAUACGGAGGAUCCAAGCGUUAUCCGGAAUUACUGGGCGUAAAGAGUUGCGUAGGUGGCAUUGUAAGUUGGUAGUGAAAGCGUUCGGCUCAACCGAAUAUACAUUAUCAAAACUACAAAGCUAGAGGAUGAGAGAGGUUAUUGGAAUUCCUAGUGUAGGAGUGAAAUCCGUAGAUAUUAGGAGGAACACCGAUGGCGUAGGCAGAUAACUGGCUCAUUCCUGACACUAAGGCACGAAAGCGUGGGUAGCAAACGGGAUUAGAUACCCCGGUAGUCCACGCUGUAAACGAUGGAUGCUAGCUGUUAUCGGUAUCGACCCCGGUAGUAGCGAAGCUAACGCGUUAAGCAUCCCGCCUGUGGAGUACGGUCGCAAGACUAAAACUCAAAGGAAUUGACGGAAUCGA
RNAcentral lists this ribosomal RNA (853 nucleotides) under uncultured bacterium. RNAcentral describes it as "bacterial SSU rRNA". It matches the Rfam family "Bacterial small subunit ribosomal RNA", at positions 130 to 922 of the family's 1533-position model. The record is from RNAcentral.